RNAcentral lists this ribosomal RNA (793 nucleotides) under Salmonella enterica subsp. enterica serovar Thompson. RNAcentral describes it as "partial 23S ribosomal RNA". It matches the Rfam family "Bacterial large subunit ribosomal RNA", at positions 528 to 1245 of the family's 2925-position model. The record is from RNAcentral. Lineage: Bacteria; Pseudomonadati; Pseudomonadota; Gammaproteobacteria; Enterobacterales; Enterobacteriaceae.
GGUUAACGGAGCGAAAGCGACGUUCAACCGCAAAACAAGCAGAGGGGGCUUAGUGGUGGGGUGACUGCGUACCUUUUGUAUAAUGGGUCAGCGACUUAUAUUCUGUAGCAAGGUUAACCGUAUAGGGGAGCCGGAGGGAAACCGAGUCUUAAUUGGGCGUUAAGUUGCAGGGUAUAGACCCGAAACCCGGUGAUCUAGCCAUGGGCAGGUUGAAGGUUGGGUAACACUAACUGGAGGACCGAACCGACUAAUGUUGAAAAAUUAGCGGAUGACCUGUGGCUGGGGGUGAAAGGCCAAUCAAACCGGGAGAUAGCUGGUUCUCCCCGAAAGCUAUUUAGGUAGCGCCUCGUGAAUUCAUCUCCGGGGGUAGAGCACUGUUUCGGCUAGGGGGCCAUCCCGGCUUACCAACCCGAUGCAAACUGCGAAUACCGGAGAAUGUUAUCACGGGAGACACACGGCGGGUGCUAACGUCCGUCGUGAAGAGGGAAACAACCCAGACCGCCAGCUAAGGUCCCAAAGUCAUGGUUAAGUGGGAAACGAUGUGGGAAGGCCCAGACAGCCAGGAUGUUGGCUUAGAAGCAGCCAUCAUUUAAAGAAAGCGUAAUAGCUCACUGGUCGAGUCGGCCUGCGCGGAAGAUGUAACGGGGCUAAACCAUGCACCGAAGCUGCGGCAGCGAACGUAUCACUUAAAGCGAUUCAGCGGGUUACGAUUGACGGAGCGAAGCGACGUCAAAGCGUAUACAAAGUCGAGUCGGUUUAAGGAUACGUUCGUUGGGUAGGGGAGCGUUCUGUA